GUACGCUGGCGGCACGCCUUAUACAUGCAAGUCGAACGAAGUAGCAAUACUUAGUGGCAGACGGGUGAGUAACAUGUGGGUAUCUUCCCUUUGGUGAGGAAUAACACGAGGAAACUUGUGCUAAUACCUCAUAAGUCUUUACGGAGAAAGCUUUAUGUGCCAAUGGAUGAGCCUGCACUUGAUUAGUUUGUUGGUGGGGUAAUGGCCUACCAAGACUUUGAUCAAUAGCUGAUCUGAGAGGAUGAUCAGCCACAUUGGGACUGAGACACGGCCCAAACUCCUACGGGAGGCAGCAGUAGGGAAUAUUGCACAAUGGAGGAAACUCUGAUGCAGCGAUGCCGCGUGAGUGAAGAAGGCCUUUGGGUUGUAAAGCUCUUUCGUCGGGGAAGAAAAUGACGGUACCCGAAUAAGAAGGUCCGGCUAA
RNAcentral lists this ribosomal RNA (424 nucleotides) under uncultured bacterium. RNAcentral's name for it is "bacterial SSU rRNA". It matches the Rfam family "Bacterial small subunit ribosomal RNA", at positions 31 to 500 of the family's 1533-position model. The record is from RNAcentral.